UCCGGACGGGUAUAAACCCGGGAAACUGGGUAUAAUCCCCGAUAGAUCUCGGUCGCUGGAAUGCCCCGAGAUCGAAAGCUCCGGCGCCAGAGGAUGGGUCUGCGGCCUAUCAGGUAGUAGUGGGUGUAGCGUACCUACUAGCCUACGACGGGUACGGGUUGUGAGAGCAAGAGCCCGGAGAUGGAUUCUGAGACACGAAUCCAGGCCCUACGGGGUGCAGCAGGCGCGAAAACUUUACAAUGCCGGCAACGGCGAUAAGGGGACCUCGAGUGCCAGGUCACAAAUCUGGCUGUCGUGAUGCCCAAAAAGCAUUGCAUAGCAAGGGCCGGGCAAGACCGGUGCCAGCCGCCGCGGUAACACCGGCGGCUCGAGUGGUAACCGUUAUUAUUGGGUCUAAAGGGUCUGUAGCCGGCCGGAUAAGUCUCUUGAGAAAUCCAGCAGCUCA
This 445-nucleotide ribosomal RNA is filed under the name uncultured archaeon. RNAcentral's name for it is "bacterial SSU rRNA". It matches the Rfam family "Archaeal small subunit ribosomal RNA", at positions 115 to 561 of the family's 1478-position model. The record is from RNAcentral.